Molecule: ribosomal RNA, 476 nt
Filed under: uncultured anaerobic ammonium-oxidizing bacterium
Lineage: Bacteria
Description: bacterial SSU rRNA
Rfam family: Bacterial small subunit ribosomal RNA
Source: RNAcentral
UUCGCAAUGCCCGAAAGGGUGACGAUGCGACGCCGCGUGAGCGAAGAAGGCCCUAGGGUUGUAAAGCUCUGUCGAGGGUUAUGAAAUAUAGAUGGGUUAAUACCCCAUUUAUUUGACAAAAGCCCAAAAGGAAGCCACGGCUAACUCUGUGCCAGCAGCCGCGGUAAUACAGAGGUGGCGAGCGUUGUUCGGUAUUAUUGGGCGUAAAGAGCACGUAGGUGGUUUUGUAAGUCAGGUGUGAAAGCCUUCUGUUCAAAGGAAGAACGGCAUCUGAAACUGUAGAUCUUGAGUGUAGGAGGGGAGAGUGGAACUUCUGGUGGAGCGGUGAAAUGCGUAGAUAUCAGAAGGAACGUCGGCGGCGAAAGCGACUCUCUGGCCUAUUACUGACACUGAGGUGCGAAAGUUAGGGGAGCAAACGGGAUUAGAUACCCCGGUAGUCCUAACCGUAAACGAUGGGCACUAAGUAGAGGGGUUUU